RNAcentral lists this ribosomal RNA (2156 nucleotides) under human gut metagenome. Its description in RNAcentral is "bacterial LSU rRNA". It matches the Rfam family "Bacterial large subunit ribosomal RNA", at positions 649 to 2838 of the family's 2925-position model. The record is from RNAcentral.
AGUUGGAGAGACGGAGCCGAAGCGAAAGCGAGUCUUAAUAGGGCGAUAGUAGGAUAUCGUAGACCCGAAACCAGGUGAUCUAGCCAUGACCAGGUUGAAGUUCAGGUGAAACUGAAUGGAGGACCGAACCGACCACCGUUGAAAAGUUGGCGGAUGAGUUGUGGCUAGGGGAGAAAUUCCAAUCGAACCUGGAGAUAGCUGGUUCUCCCCGAAAUAGCUUUAGGGCUAGCGUCGGGCGAUGGGACACGGAGGUAGAGCACUGAACGUACGAUGGCGCCAUCCCGGUGUACUGAGUAUGAUCAAACUGCGAAUGCCGUGUCAGAGGAGCCCGGCAGUCAGACCAUGGGUGAUAAGGUCCGUGGUCGAGAGGGAAACAGCCCAGACCGCCAGAUAAGGUCCCAAAAUACAUGCUAAGUGGAAAAGGAUGUGGGGAUGCACAGACAACUAGGAGGUUGGCUCAGAAGCAGCCAUCCUUCAAAGAGUGCGUAACAGCUCACUAGUCGAGUGACCCUGCGCCGAAAAUGUACCGGGGCUAAGCAUGAUACCGAAGCUGCGGAUUCGUAAGGAUGGUAGGGGAGCGUUGCAUGCACGUGGAAGCCGUACCGGAAGGAACGGUGGAGAGCAUGGAAGAGAGAAUGCCGGUGUGAGUAGCGAGAUGCAGGUGAGAAUCCUGCACACCGAAAGCCCAAGGAUUCCAGGGGAAGGUUCGUCCGCCCUGGGUAAGUCGGGACCUAACGCGAGGCCGAAAGGCGUAGUGGAUGGAAAACAGGCAGAUAUUCCUGUACCCGUAAUGCAAGUGAUGGAGUGACGGAGAAGGCUAGUGUGACCCUAUGAAUGGAUUUAGGGCGAAGCGGAGCAGCAGGCUUACAGUGAAAUGCGUAAGCGAGAUGCAGGACGCGAAAGGUAAGCGAACGCGCGAGCAAGUAGCGAAGCACAUGAGGCCAGCUUCCAAGAAAAGCUUCUGGCGCAAAUUGGAUUACGGCCCGUACCAAAACCGACACAGGUGGGCAAGGAGAGUAUCCUAAGGUGAGCGAGAGAACUGUUGCCAAGGAACUCGGCAAAAAUACUCCGUAAGUUCGCGAGAAGGAGUGCUCUUGAGAGAGAGCCGCAGCGAAGAGGCCCAAGCGACUGUUUAACUAAAACACAGCUCUCUGCGAAGUCGCAAGACGAAGUAUAGGGGGUGACGCCUGCCCGGUGCUGGAAGGUUAAGGGGAGGAGUUAUCGAAAGAGAAGCUCUGAACCGAAGCCCCAGUGAACGGCGGCCGUAACUAUAACGGUCCUAAGGUAGCGAAAUUCCUUGUCAGGUAAGUUCUGACCCGCACGAAAGGCGUAACGAUUUGGGCGCUGUCUCGGCAGCAGACUCGGUGAAAUCUUAGUACCUGUGAAAAUGCAGGUUACCCGCAACUAGACGGAAAGACCCCAUGGAGCUUUACUGCAGCCUGAUAUUGGAUUUUGAUUCAGCAUGUACAGGAUAGGUGGGAGACUGAGAGACAUGCACGCCAGUGUAUGAGGAGUCGACGUUGGGAUACCACUCUUGCUGGAUCGGAGUUCUAACCUGUGCGCCUGGAACGGCGCAAGGGAGAGUGUCAGGCGGGCAGUUUGACUGGGGCGGUCGCCUCCCAAAGAGUAACGGAGGCGCCCAAAGGUACGCUCAGAUUGGUUGGAAAUCAAUUGAAGAGUGCAAAUGCAGAAGCGUGCUUGACUGUGAGAGCAACAACUCGAACAGGGACGAAAGUCGGGAUUAGUGAUCCGGCGGUGCCGAAUGGAAGGGCCGUCGCUCAACGGAUAAAAGCUACCCUGGGGAUAACAGGCUGAUCUCGCCCAAGAGUUCACAUCGACGGCGAGGUUUGGCACCUCGAUGUCGGCUCAUCGCAUCCUGGAGCUGAAUUCGGUUCCAAGGGUUGGGCUGUCCGCCCAUUAAAGCGGUACGCGAGCUGGGUUCAGAACGUCGUGAGACAGUUCGGUCCCUAUCUGUUGUGGGCGCAGGAAAUUUGAGGAGAACUGACACUAGUACGAGAGGACCGUGUUGGACAGACCGCUGGUUUAUCAGUUGUUCCGCCAGGGGCAUAGCUGAGUAUCUAAGUCUGGAAAGGAUAAGUGCUGAAAGCAUCUAAGUACGAAGCCAACUUCAAGAUGAGAUUUCCCUGAAGGGUCGU